Long non-coding RNA from Sapajus apella (tufted capuchin), 1054 nucleotides. RefSeq lists it as uncharacterized. NCBI's taxonomy places the organism in Eukaryota, Metazoa, Chordata, Mammalia, Primates, Cebidae. The transcript has 3 exons. The record is from RefSeq and is a predicted model, not a curated record.
UGCCCCGCACAGAACCAGGCCCCGGGGUUUCUCCUUCCCAGCCCGGAAGGCUCUGCCCUCCGCAGGUGGGCUGACUCUGCGUGCAGGUGUGCCUGGUUCUAGGGAAUGAUCCUGACCUGCCAAGUUACACCUCCCACCUGCGCCGCAGGAGCGGGACCCAGGGAGGCCGGGUGCCCGAGGCACUUUUAAACGCGGCUCAGGAGGGGUCCCUCCCCUUUCGUGGAGGAGGACGAAGGGUGCUGGUGCAGACGGUCUCAGGAGAGCGCGCCAAGUGGCCGCGGGCUCCCCGGCGACGCGCAGGAUGCUCUCACCUGCCUCGAACCCCUCGUCUUGCAAAAUGUUCAAAAUUGGAAAAAAAAGAAAGAAAAAAAAAAAAACGGCGACGACUGCAGAAGGGCAGAAGAAGCAGUUGUGGAUGGCUGCUCAAGAGAGAGGAGAGGGAUAGAAGAAACCAAAGGUUAUAUUGGUUGGGUAAUAAGACCCUCUGAAUUCCACAGGUUCAUUCUUAAAUGGCUUUAUCCCUAAUGAUCACUAACCCCAAUCUGCACAUAUACCCAGAGAUAACUGCCACUCACAAACGCUUAGCACUUGUCCACUUACAGAGCACCUUCCAUGAGUGUCAUAUCACUUUGUUCUGACAAUUCCAUGAGGAAAGCAAUGAUUCUGAUUUUUGACUGCUGUGUGACAGAUCACUCUAAAACUUAGUGACUUAAAACAACAACUUAUCAUUUCUCAUCAUUCUGCGAUCUGGGUUAGGCUCAGCUGGGACACUGGGAUGACUGGUCUUCUCUUUCUCUCCAUGUAGUGUCAAGGCCUCUGUCUUCACAUUGCCUUCUUACACCAUAGAUUCAUUUUGCUUAUUCAACAAAUUCAUACAAGUGAAAUCAUACUGUAUGUACUCUGUUGUGUGCAGUUUCUUUCACUCUGCACAAUAUUUUUAACAUUCACCAAUGUUGCAUGUAGUUCACUUCUUUGCAUUAGUGAGUAGUAUUCCACUAUGUGAAUAUACAGAAGUUUAUCUGUUGCACUGGUGGACAUUUAGGUUGUUUCCAGC